GACAUGCUCUGGAAAACACAGACAUUCUCAGGAAACUGCAGUCUGCUGAAAAUGCCAGGAGAUUUCAGGAGACUGGGCUCUUCAUUAGGACUUGGCAUCUUUCGUUGGUUUUGCAUAGGGAAUGGAUCAACACUUUUUAUCUGAUCAUCUGUUUGUCCAAGUCUUUGUUUUUUCUAAUCCUGUUUCAAAUGGAUAAGAUCUUAAGGCAUAAGAGAAAAUUCAUUCAUGGGACCAAGGAAAGUAGAUGCUGUCAAGUUACCCAAAUCAUGACCCAUGAGCACU
Molecule: long non-coding RNA, 282 nt
Filed under: Lynx pardinus (Iberian lynx)
Lineage: Eukaryota; Metazoa; Chordata; Mammalia; Carnivora; Felidae
Source: RNAcentral